RNAcentral lists this long non-coding RNA (3585 nucleotides) under Triticum aestivum (bread wheat). RNAcentral's name for it is "long non-coding RNA (TAES_LNC020513)". The record is from RNAcentral. Lineage: Eukaryota; Viridiplantae; Streptophyta; Magnoliopsida; Poales; Poaceae.
UCGUGUCGAGCAUCCACGACACCCCGAGAUGGAUAAGACCGCCCCCUCCUCCCCGAAACCCUAGCAUCCCCUUUUUCUUCCCUCUCGCGCCCCUGCCUCUCCUGCUCGACGCCCGUGCAUUGCCGUCACCGCCAUUCAUCGUUGCCGUCCUCUGGGUCAUCCCCGAGCUGCUACAAGGUGGCCACGAGCUUCCCCAACCUCGUCUCCUUCACCUAUGCCUCUGGAUCGAAGCCAAAGGGCCUUGUAUGCUCCACAUCGAGCCGCCAUCCCCACCACAGCCGCCACGGCCGUCGCCGUCGAUCCCCACCUCCGGCACCCCCUCGACCUGUUCGAGCACGGCCCCGACCUCCUCCCAGUGAGCCUCAUCGAUUCCCCCCUUUUCCCUUUUAUUCGUUGCCGUUUGCCGUCGUCCCCGAGCUCGGUUGUCCUCUUCCAUGGCCGCGUUCGAGCCUCAGUGUACGCGCACGUGCCGGUGCCUGCUCUUGCCCGUGACCGCGCCCUGAAUGUGACCCGCGCGCACCCGCGCCGCUGCUUUCCCCCGCGCCGACCUGCGCUCGUCGCCGCGCCCCUCGCUCUCGUGCAGCUGCUUGCCCGAGGGACGCGCCCGCGCAGGCCGCGUCCACCCUGUCGCUGCGCCGCUGCUACUGCUCCGCCGGGCCUGCUGCUCGCACUACUGCCGCGUUCUGCUGCUCACUGCUCGUUGGUACUGUUGUUCGCUGCUGCCAUCGCCCAUUGCUGCCGCUGCUGCCAACUAUUGCUACCCCUGUGUGCUGCUCACUGCUGGUGCUCAUUUGCUGCCCGGCCGGCCGCGCCGUGGCCAUGGCACAGCAUGGCUGCGUGCGUGUGAGCCCCUGUACGAGCGGCUAUGUUCUCCACAGCGUGGCCGACCAUUCUUAGUUAGGUUUAGGAUAGAUUAGAUUCUGGGCUAAAUUAGCCUAUGUCAAGUGGGCCCCUAUACUUAAUUAGUUUAGUUAAAUACUAGGCUUAUUUCUUUUAAUAGGGGUACUCUAUGACAUGCGGGACCAAGGGCACUAUUCAUCCUUUGACCUUUCAAACAUUUGACUGGCCAACUCAGUCAACAGGCCCACAUGUCAACGUCUAUAGCACCUUGCUGUGUGCACUUCAGUGUGUGCACAUAGCAUUCUUUUCUACUUUUUCGAAUUAAAAUUAAUCCAGUAAAUUUCAGAAAUUGUUUAAAACUUUAAAAAUUAAUGGAAAAUAAACCGUAGCUCAGAUGAAAAAGUUUUAGAUAUGAAAGUUGCUCAGAACGAUGAGACGAAUUCGAACACGCGGUCUGUUUACGUGUCAGAUGCCUCUCACUAUCUGAACAUGGAACUUUCCUUCUCCGGUCAUCUGUUUGACAAAGGUCCGGAACCGAGAAAACAUUCCCGGUUGACUUCCCCCUUCAUCGGUAUCAUGUAGCACCGCGUUAGAACACGUCUAGCUCUGUCUGUUGUCCUGUUAUGCACUUGCUUGCUAUGUUUUUACUGUUUCUCCCCCUCUUCUCUUCGGUAGACCCCGUGACGAUGCUGAUGCCGCUGUGAUCGACUACGUCACCGACGACCCCUUCUUCUUGUCUGAGUAACCAGGCAAGCAAACCCCCCUUGAGCAUUCCGAUAUCGCCUAUUUCUUUCCCUCUGAUACUUGCAUUAGAACUGCUACUUCUUUUUGUAUAAUCCUACUCUGAUGCAUAGCCUGAUUUUGUUACUUGCUUAUUGUUACCUUACCUGCUUAUCCUAAACUGCUUAGUAUAGGUUGAUUAUUGAUCCAUCAGUGACCCCCACCUUGUCCCAGUUGCCCCUCUUUAUGUUCGAUGACUCGAUUAAUGUGAUCGACGUCUAGGUCCCGACACCGCACAUCACCCCCCUAAUUGAACGACUUUGUAGAGUCACCAUCGAGUGCCGAGGGUGGAACCUCUUACAACACUCCUGGUGAGACCUCUGUAGUGUAGCUAUUCGGUCGUGGUCAUCGACGGUGAUUUCCUCCUUAACCACUUCCGAUACGGCUAUGUCGUGAAACCCCUUAAGUGUGAACCUCAGGGGUGGAUCCUCUUACAUUCACCUUGAUGAUUACAUCGAGUGGAAUUCACCGGGGGUGAUUCCUUGGGUUUUCCCCUUGAUGUUUGGACACACGGAUACUUGGACUUUACAGCUGUUACUUGGAAAGGCGGGUCAACCCUGAGAGGUACCCAUGAGUGAUGUGGAGACGGGUUGACCUGGAGAGUACCCGAGAGUUGAACAUGAGGCGUGGCCGGGCAUUCUUAGCCCUUGUCGCAAGUCCUCGAGACGGGGCGACAGGGUCACAUCUUUCGUGAGUCUCUGCUUGUUAUCGCGCGUUCCUAAUCCACUACGAUUUGGAUAUUUGAUCCGAGGGGCCUCUGGCCUGAUAGCACUAACCGUCACGUGGGCACAGUAUGGGUGUUCUGCGUUAUAUACAUCAGCCGAAGCUUAAUCGACGUCAGCGACUGAGCGGCGCGUGCCGGGUUGGACUGCGUAAGCUCCUACCUUAUUUAAGGAGGUAGCCAGGUCUGCUCAUCGGCCACGUACGCAACGUGCAGGAGUUCCCGGGGAGAUGGCCCAUGACCCCUGGGGGCAUAGGUUUAGUCCGGCGUGUUGACCUCUCUAUUAAGCCUAGGUCGGGUUGCGGCGUAUUGUUUGGCCGAGGCCAGGCAUGACCCAGGAAAGUGUGUUCGGCCGGAGUUAAUCGAGCGUGGUGGGUAAGUUGGUGCACCCCUGUAGGGAAGAAAACAUCUAUCGAUAGCCUGUCUUACGGUAACGGACACUUGGAGUUGUAUCCCGAUCGAUACAACUAGAACUGGAUACUUGAGAUGAGAAAUGGAUAUGAGAAAUGGAUAGUAUGGCUCUGGGAUUGCUUUCUCGUAGGGAGUCGAGAAAGGAUCUUUGGCCGAGGUUGAUAACACUACUACUACUUUAUAUUAUGUUUGAUCUAUACUCUUCUAUAUGCUGCAACAUGAUUGAAGAUGCUUGAAGAUGCUAGUCUUCGAUAUGCUAGGCUUUCCCCUUCUUUCUGGCAUUCUGCAGUUUAGUCCACAGAUACAACCCAUUUCCUUUGAUACUGAUGCAUACUUAGGUUAUAUCUGAUGUAAGUCUUGCGAGUACUUUGGAUGAGUACUCACGGCUGCUUUGCUACCUCUUUUCCCUCAUACCCGAUUGUUGCGACCAGAUGACGGAUCCCAGGAGCCAGACGACACCAUAAUGACUACUGCUACCCCGAGGGUGCGUACUACUACGUGACGGCCGCUGACGACUUGGAGUAGUUAGGAGGCUUCUAGGCAGGAGGCCUUGCCUUUUCGAUCGUUGUUGCUUUUGUGCUAGCCUUAUUAAGGCAAACUUGUUUAACUUAUGUUUGUACUCAGAUAUUGUUGCUUCCGCUGACUCUUAUGUAUUCGAGCUUGUGUACUCGAGCCCUCGAGGCCCCUGGCUUGUAAUAUAAAGCUUGUAUUAUUUUAAUUUGUGUCUAGAAUUGUGUUGUGAUAUAUUCCCGUGAGUCAUUGAUCUUGAUCGUACACAUUUGCGUGUAUGAUUAGUGUACGAUUGAAUCGAGGGCGUCAUAAGUUGGUAUCAG